AAUAUUGGACAAUGGGGGCAACCCUGAUCCAGCCAUGCCGCGUGUGUGGAGAAGGUCUUCGGAUUGUAAAGCACUUUAAGUUGGGAGGAAGGGCUUUAGGUUAAUUCCCUGAAGUUUUGACUUUACCAACAGAAUAAGCAGCGGCUAACCCUGUGCCAGCCGCCGCGGUAAUACAGAGGGUGAAAGUGUUAAUCGGAAUUACGGGGCGUAAAGGGGGCGUGGGUGGUUACGGAAGAUGGGUGGGAAAUCCCCGGGCUUAACCUGGGAACUGCUUUCAUAACUGCUGAGCUAGAGUACGGUAGAGGGUAGUGAAAUUUCCUGUGUAGCGGUGAAAUGCGUAGAUAUAGGAAGGAACACAAGUGGCGAAGGCGACUACCUGGACUGAUCCUGACACUGAGGUGCGAAAGCGUGGGGAGCAAAC
This 421-nucleotide ribosomal RNA is filed under the name uncultured bacterium. Its description in RNAcentral is "partial 16S ribosomal RNA". It matches the Rfam family "Bacterial small subunit ribosomal RNA", at positions 360 to 773 of the family's 1533-position model. The record is from RNAcentral.